Molecule: long non-coding RNA, 298 nt
Filed under: Linum usitatissimum (flax)
Lineage: Eukaryota; Viridiplantae; Streptophyta; Magnoliopsida; Malpighiales; Linaceae
Description: long non-coding RNA (LUSI_LNC000913)
Source: RNAcentral
UGGAUUCAGCAGUAAUGGGUCAUCGUCAAAAUCAGCAGCCAAUGCAUGAGACUGGCAGUGGCAGCGGCAGCUCUGCCACAGCGCAGUUUGACCAGAAUAUCCUCAGCCUCCAUAGCCAAUUACCAUCUCUCGAUUCUUUCCACCAUGACCAGGUAAAAAAAACAUUUCUUACAUUUAUUAACAAUCAGUAAAUUUCCCAAAAUUUUACCUAAUGAAAAUGUAUUGUUUUUACAGUUUCAGACAUUCUGUGACGAGGACCUCCAGAGCAUUGUUCAGAUGGCGACUAACAUGCCGGAGG